AAUUAAGCAGUUGUAUGAUGGAUUCCUGGAGGACAUAGAGCGUUACCCUAUCGUAGUUGACGGAGACACUGUGUCAUCAGUGAUCCUGAUAGGAACUGUUUCACACUCUACUGUUCGAAUGAAUCACUGGUCCUUCGAUCUACAGGAUGCCACAUGGUCGGAAACAACUUCCGACUUUAAACUUGCUUGGUCAUCAAGCAAUGGCGACUAUGUUCAACUAUUUGGCAAACCUGCCAUGAAUGACAGAUUCCUUCAGAUUAAA
Molecule: long non-coding RNA, 262 nt
Organism: Triticum aestivum (bread wheat)
Lineage: Eukaryota; Viridiplantae; Streptophyta; Magnoliopsida; Poales; Poaceae
Exons: 4
Source: RefSeq, a predicted model, not a curated record